UGGGGAAUUUUCUGCAAUGGGCGAAAGCCUGACAGAGCAACGCCGCGUGGGGGAUGAAGGCCUUCGGGUUGUAAACCCCUUUCAGGAGGGAAGAAAUUGACGGUACCUCCAAAAGAAGCACCGGCCAACUACGUGCCAGCAGCCGCGGUAAUACGUAGGGUGCGAGCGUUAUCCGGAAUCAUUGGGCGUAAAGAGCUCGUAGGCGGUUCAGCAAGUCGGCUGUGAAAGUCCGAGGCUCAACCUCGGAACUGCAGUCGAUACUGCUGUGACUCGAGUCCGGUAGAGGAGAAUGGAAUUCAGGGUGUAGCGGUGAAAUGCGCAGAUAUCCUGAGGAACACCAGUAGCGAAGGCGGUUCUCUGGGCCGGUACUGACGCUGAGGAGCGAAAGCGUGGGUAGCAAACAGGAUUAGAUACCCGCGUAGUCC
Molecule: ribosomal RNA, 425 nt
Filed under: uncultured prokaryote
Description: bacterial SSU rRNA
Rfam family: Bacterial small subunit ribosomal RNA
Source: RNAcentral